Molecule: ribosomal RNA, 253 nt
Filed under: uncultured bacterium
Lineage: Bacteria
Description: partial 16S ribosomal RNA
Rfam family: Bacterial small subunit ribosomal RNA
Source: RNAcentral
UACGAAGGGGGCUAGCGUUGCUCGGAAUCACUGGGCGUAAAGCGCACGUAGGCGGAUUGCUAAGUCAGGGGUGAAAUCCUGGAGCUCAACUCCAGAACUGCCUUUGAUACUGGCGAUCUUGAGUCCGGGAGAGGUGAGUGGAACUGCGAGUGUAGAGGUGAAAUUCGUAGAUAUUCGCAAGAACACCAGUGGCGAAGGCGGCCCACUGGCUCGAUACUGACGCUGAGGUGCGAAAGCGUGGGGAGCAAACAGG